Molecule: long non-coding RNA, 357 nt
Filed under: Sus scrofa (pig)
Lineage: Eukaryota; Metazoa; Chordata; Mammalia; Artiodactyla; Suidae
Description: lncRNA (ENSSSCG00000036815.3)
Source: RNAcentral
ACCCCUGCUGGUUACAGAACAGGGAGGAAGACAACUGGGUGUUGUGACUGACACUUGCAGGUGGCAGGCUUCAGUAUUUCAGAGGGGGCUCAAGAGAAGCGAAGAAACAGACCUAUUUUGUUGAUGAUUAAGCCAGAUUUCUGUUAGUUUGUGAAAUUGACAAGCUGAUACCAAAGAACUCAAAAUAAUAAAGAGAAGAGAUCAUGAGAAAGUCACAGGGGAUUCCUGUUUCAGAACAACAUCAGAGAGAAUACGAGGGACGUGAGAAAAGUGUAGCGGAACGUCGGAAACUAUUUGAAAAACCUCAGGGAAAAAAUGAUGUUCCUGAAAAAAUAUUUGUACCUCAGGAAAGAAAUG